Molecule: ribosomal RNA, 465 nt
Filed under: uncultured Klebsiella sp.
Lineage: Bacteria; Pseudomonadati; Pseudomonadota; Gammaproteobacteria; Enterobacterales; Enterobacteriaceae
Description: bacterial SSU rRNA
Rfam family: Bacterial small subunit ribosomal RNA
Source: RNAcentral
CCUACGGGUGGCAGCAGUGGGGAAUAUUGCACAAUGGGCGCAGGCCUGAUGCAGCCAUGCCGCGUGUGUGAAGAAGGCCUUCGGGUUGUAAAGCACUUUCAGCGGGGAGGAAGGCGGUGAGGUUAAUAACCUCAUCGAUUGACGUUACCCGCAGAAGAAGCACCGGCUAACUCCGUGCCAGCAGCCGCGGUAAUACGGAGGGUGCAAGCGUUAAUCGGAAUUACUGGGCGUAAAGCGCACGCAGGCGGUCUGUCAAGUCGGAUGUGAAAUCCCCGGGCUCAACCUGGGAACUGCAUUCGAAACUGGCAGGCUAGAGUCUUGUAGAGGGGGGUAGAAUUCCAGGUGUAGCGGUGAAAUGCGUAGAGAUCUGGAGGAAUACCGGUGGCGAAGGCGGCCCCCUGGACAAAGACUGACGCUCAGGUGCGAAAGCGUGGGGAGCAAACAGGAUUAGAUACCCUAGUAGUC